GCCCUCGUAGCUCAGGGGAUAGAGCGUUGGUUUCCGGUACCAAAGGUCAGAGGUUCGAUUCCUCUCGGGGGCACGA
This 76-nucleotide transfer RNA is filed under the name Dietzia sp. UCD-THP. RNAcentral describes it as "tRNA-Arg". It matches the Rfam family "tRNA". From Rfam's summary of the family: Transfer RNA (tRNA) molecules are approximately 80 nucleotides in length. Their secondary structure includes four short double-helical elements and three loops (D, anti-codon, and T loops). Further hydrogen bonds mediate the characteristic L-shaped molecular structure. tRNAs have two regions of fundamental functional importance: the anti-codon, which is responsible for specific mRNA codon recognition, and the 3' end, to which the tRNAs corresponding amino acid is attached (by aminoacyl-tRNA synthetases). tRNAs cope with the degeneracy of the genetic code in two manners: having more than one tRNA (with a specific anti-codon) for a particular amino acid; and 'wobble' base-pairing, i.e. permitting non-standard base-pairing at the 3rd anti-codon position. Lineage: Bacteria; Bacillati; Actinomycetota; Actinomycetes; Mycobacteriales; Dietziaceae. The record is from RNAcentral.